This 177-nucleotide microRNA precursor is filed under the name Oryza sativa Indica Group (long-grained rice). Its description in RNAcentral is "MIR812 microRNA precursor family". It matches the Rfam family "MIR812 microRNA precursor family". The record is from Rfam by way of RNAcentral. Lineage: Eukaryota; Viridiplantae; Streptophyta; Magnoliopsida; Poales; Poaceae.
GUCUGUUGUAGUUAUAUGUUUCCGUGUCCAAUAUUUAACUAUUCGUUUUAUUUAAAUUUUUUUAUGAUUAAUAUUUUUGUUGCUAUUAGAUAAUGCGUGAUUUAAUUUUUUUUUCAUAAAUUUUUAAAUAAGAUGGAUGAUCAAACGUUAGACACAAAACUCACAGCUACGUUUUAA